This 2776-nucleotide long non-coding RNA is filed under the name Mus musculus (house mouse). RNAcentral describes it as "long non-coding RNA chr12:110569587-110572363". The record is from RNAcentral. Lineage: Eukaryota; Metazoa; Chordata; Mammalia; Rodentia; Muridae.
UUCCAGGACAGCCAGGGCCACACAGAGAGACCCUGUCUCAAAAACCAAAAAAGGAAGAAAAAAAAAAACUUACUUAAGUAAGUCACUUAUUAGACCAGGCAUAGCAACACAAGUCCAUAACCCCAACUCCAGAGGCUGAGGCAGGAGGAUUGCUACAGAUUCAAAGCCAGGCUUGGGUAUAUAGUGAGACCCUAUCUAUUUAAAGAAAAAGGAAACAAAGAAGGAAAAAACCCUACUCUUCCUAACCCAGUGUGAACCAUUGGCAGAUUUUAUUUUUAACUAGCCACUUAAAAGUGGUUAUGGUGGACGAACUAUAGGAUGUGUGUUUAGCUACCACCAUUUCCCCAAUUUUUAGAUGCUCUGUUAGUUGUGACUGCAUGUCAAGCUCUGUUUUGGUUCCUGGUAAUACAGCAAUGGUUGUAACAAAAGUCCUUGGCAUAACAGGGCAGGUGGCGUACCCUGGGUAAAGUACAGAAGGCGUGUCUUCAAUGCACAGGGUGGCAGAGCCACAGGGAGCCACGCCAGACCAGGGCACAGCCCCCGGAGCAGAGUUAGUGUGAUAGAAGUCUCUAAGAAGCCACCUCUCCCAUGGUGCCUCCUCCACUCCUAGAGAGUGAUGGUGUUUCAGAAGUUGCCUGUGGUAGUACAUUUUGAGGGUUUAAAAAAAAAUAAUAAUGAAUGAAAAAAAUCAGUGCAUCUAAUGAUGGAAUUAGAAGCAACCCUGGUUCCCCUUGGAAUACUGUCACCUCGGGGUACCAGCUCUGGCCUCCUUGGCUCCUCUGCAGACUUGUCUGCACAGUGGGUAUAGACUGUAGCAGGCAGGCAGCCAAGCUGGGAACAUUGGACCAACUUGGAGGGGAUGGGGGAGGGAGGGCUAUGUUUAAAGUCUUGUUAAAUUUUUAAUUUUUAGGUGUCUUUAGUCUCACUCUUGGCUAGUUUUUAGGUUUCUUUUCACGUUACACGUGUUGAGAGCCGUGGUGUGAGACGUGAGGAGGACCAGAGAGCACAGGAAAACGUGACUGUGGCACGGGUGUCCCCCUGCUUUCGCCCCCUAACCUGCCUGCGUGCGACUCUUCUCUAAUACAAGUGAUGUUUUCUUGUUUUUCAGAGAGAAGCUAAAAAUGAAAGAGCGAGAAGAAGCAUGGGUUAAAAUAGAAAAUCUAGCCAAAGCGAAUCCCCAGGUACUAAAAAAGAGAGUAACUCGGGAGUGUUGAGGCUUUGCGUGAAUGUCUGAGAUAGGGCCUGGCUCCACCCCAGGAAGGGAGGCCAACGUCACUAACACUGUAUGUGCAAAUGUCCGCAAUAAAACACUUUCCAACUUUGUAACUUCCUCUUGUAUAAGUACUUAUUUGCCACACGUAACUUUUACCACAGAAUCGAUUUUUUUCUCUUCUUUUUAAAAGUAAGAUGUGAUGUGGUAAAGAGAACACCAGGAUGUAACCUCUAAGAUUGUAAUGUCCUUUCUUGCUCGAAUGUCAUAGAUGCUGUCACUUGAACCGUGUUCCUCCGUUUUAUUCUCAUACAUGAGAGGGAUGGGGGGGAGGCAGAUGAAGAAUGCUGAAAACUAACUGAAUUCUGCCCUGCUCACACUAACUGUUCCUCUACCCUAGCCGAUGCAGUGUGCUCCCGCAAGGCGAAGCCAGGCAGAUGGUCCUGUCUGUCAGAGCUGCAGGUGACUCAGCAGCCUCUGUCCAGGGUUGGCUUUUAGGCUGGCAGAGCCUGGGACAGCUUUGCAGCCAUAGCUCUUUGGUGUUGCCUCCGCUGGUCCGAAUGAUCAGUUAUUGGGGUGUUGCCUCUGCUGGUCCGAAUGAUCAGUUAUUGGGGUGUUGCCUCUGCUGCUCCGAAUGAUCAAUGUUACUGGGUGUUUCUUUUCUCCUUGUUGCGUGUGUCUGAUUAUAACAGCCACUUGAUGAAAUGUCUGACCUUCUCCACACUAAGAUCUCUCAGGCUUCUCUCAGCUCUCCAGGGAAGAAAAUAUCUUACUAAACAGUGUAUUUCUUUUUGGUUGAGAAGUGUGUAUUAAGUGUGUACAUAAAUUAUUAUGUAAGUUGGAUGUGGGUUUUUUUAAUCUUUGUCAUUUAAUAAAAACAAUAUAUGAAGAUAUCAGUGUGUAUUUUCCUAUGAGACAGCAUUCUAGCCUGCAUCCCUUUGAAGAAAGGAUACUUAAUGACAGUCUGUUGCGGAUCUGCGGUUCCACCUAAAACAAGUAGCUCACAUUUCCCUGGCAGCACUUUACAUGCUAUAGAGAAGUUCUUCUAAGGCUUGUAGCUUAAUUACAGAGAUCUGCACGUAUGGACAGGGCUUAUGUGGAGAGUGGGCAGAAGCACCGGCAGUUGUUUUAAAACUCGGCAAAAGCCUGUGUGGGCAGGGUUAGGUGACUCAGCCUUGCUGGCAUUGCACUGGUGGCCUUGCUUUGUUUGGAACUUUGUUUGUUUGUUUGUUUGUUUGUUUUUAAUCUGGCCGGUGGAGAGCCUUGGAAGGCUUGCUUUGCCUAGAAAAUGGAAAUACUCUGUUGAAAACUGCACAGAGCUCCCACUUACAAAUGAAGAGCGUUACGGGGUCAGCACUGGGGUCGCCACUGCCUUGCAACAAAGCUUUCUGGUUUAUCCCUUUUGAUCGCUCUUACAACCUGUUGAUGAUGGCUGUGGUGGGUUUGGCAUUGGAGCUUUGGUGACCUUCAUUCCCACUGUCCUCACCGCCCCCCCCCCCCAUCACUGUGUGAACCAUCUGUGACAGUCAAGAGUCUCGUCCACAUGCCCCAUGACACGCUGUCUCU